UAACGGCCCACCGAGGCGACGAUGUCUAGGGGUUCUGAGAGGAAGGUCCCCCACACUGGAACUGAGACACGGUCCAGACUCCUACGGGAGGCAGCAGUGAGGAAUAUUGGUCAAUGGGCGGAAGCCUGAACCAGCCAUGCCGCGUGAAGGAAUAAGGCCCUAUGGGUCGUAAACUUCUUUUGUGGUGGAGCAAUAAGGGCUACGCGUAGUCCGAUGAGAGUACAUCACGAAUAAGCAUCGGCUAACUCCGUGCCAGCAGCCGCGGUAAUACGGAGGAUGCAAGCGUUAUCCGGAUUUAUUGGGUUUAAAGGGUGCGUAGGCUGUGCCGCAAGUCGGGGGUGAAAGCCCGGGGCCCAACCCCGGAACUGCCCUUGAUACUGCGGCGCUGGAGUUCAGAUGCCGUGGGAGGAAUGAGUAGUGUAGCGGUGAAAUGCAUAGAUAUUACUCAGAACACCGAUUGCGAAGGCAUCUCACGAAUCCGACACUGACGCUGAGGCACGAAAGCGUGGGGAUCAAACAGGAUUAGAUACCCUGGUAGUCCACGCAGUAAACGAUGAUGACUAACUGUCGGCGAUAAACAGUCGGUGGCCAAGCGAAAGCGAUAAGUCAUCCACCUGGGGAGUACGUUCGCAAGAAUGAAACUCAAAGGAAUUGACGGGGGCCCGCACAAGCGGAGGAACAUGUGGUUUAAUUCGAUGAUACGCGAGGAACCUUACCCGGGCUCGAACGGCUAGUGAACGACCCAGAGAUGGGAAGGCCCUUCGGGGCGCUAGUCGAGGUGCUGCAUGGUUGUCGUCAGCUCGUGCCGUGAGGUGUCGGCUUAAGUGCCAUAACGAGCGCAACCCUUGCCGCUAGUUACCAUCAAGUGAAGUUGGGGACUCUAGCGGGACUGCCACCGCAAGGUGAGAGGAAGGCGGGGAUGACGUCAAAUCAGCACGGCCCUUACGUCCGGGGCGACACACGUGUUACAAUG
Molecule: ribosomal RNA, 973 nt
Filed under: uncultured bacterium
Lineage: Bacteria
Description: bacterial SSU rRNA
Rfam family: Bacterial small subunit ribosomal RNA
Source: RNAcentral